This 638-nucleotide long non-coding RNA is filed under the name Homo sapiens (human). RNAcentral's name for it is "non-protein coding HAR1A:4". Lineage: Eukaryota; Metazoa; Chordata; Mammalia; Primates; Hominidae. The record is from RNAcentral.
CGCAGACCAUGUAAUUAAGCUGCGUUCUGCAGCCAGGGCAAGACAGAAGAUGGGCGUUCCAGGCAGAGAAGAGCUGCCCAGUCACGUGCUCUGCUCCACCUGGUCAGAGACCCUUGACCUUUAGAAGACUGGACCUGAGGGCGUGGCUGGUGGACCUGAGGGCGUGGAUGGUGGACCUGGCCACCCAGCUGUAGCUUUUUGGGUUCCUGUGGUCCCAUUUCUUGGGUCAAUCUCACACCUGGCAGCUCCCAGGAAGACACCCCCAGGCCCCUCACACUCCUGGGGGCAGCUGGAAUUGGCUUCAGGGCGGGACCAGGGGCCCCAUGGGUGUUUGGAAUCCCUGAUCUGGGUCAGGCACCGGCAGCAGGAUUCCAGCCUGGCCUGGACUCUGGUGUGUCCCGUUUGAAGAAACCCCGCCCUGUGAAAGUUCAAGUUUAGCAUCCAAUGACCCAUUUAAGAGGUUUGCUGAGCCACGUCACAGGAGGGUCUGGGUGCAAACGGAGGUGGCAACACACAGAGCGAGCCUUGAGCACCCAGGUUACCCCCAGGACCUCCAGUCUGGCUUGGGGGCUCCUGCUGUCCUGUGGAGCAGCCCCCUGGGAUCAGGGACGGGGCUGAGCUGGAGAGUGUGCAGGAUU